RNAcentral lists this ribosomal RNA (375 nucleotides) under uncultured organism. Its description in RNAcentral is "partial 16S ribosomal RNA". It matches the Rfam family "Bacterial small subunit ribosomal RNA", at positions 527 to 897 of the family's 1533-position model. The record is from RNAcentral.
GUAGGUGGCAGGCGUUGUCCGGAAUUAUUGGGGCGUAAAGCGCGCGCAGGCGGUUCUUUAAGUCUGAUGUGAAAGCCCACGGGCUCAACCGUGGAGGGUCAUUGGAAACUGGAGAACUUGAGUACAGAAGAGGAAAGCGGAAUUCCACGUGUAGCGGUGAAAUGCGUAGAGAUGUGGAGGAACACCAGUGGCGAAGGCGGCUUUCUGGUCUGUAACUGACGCUGAGGCGCGAAAGCGUGGGGAGCAAACAGGAUUAGAUACCCUGGUAGUCCACGCCGUAAACGAUGAGUGCUAAGUGUUAGGGGGUUUCCGCCCCUUAGUGCUGCAGCUAACGCAUUAAGCACUCCGCCUGGGGAGUACGGCCGCAAAGGCUGA